Hyaena hyaena (striped hyena) is the source of this 103-nucleotide small nuclear RNA. NCBI's taxonomy places the organism in Eukaryota, Metazoa, Chordata, Mammalia, Carnivora, Hyaenidae. The record is from RefSeq and is a predicted model, not a curated record.
ACUUCAGUGGCAUGUAUACUAAAAACCUGGAACCAUAUGGAGAAAAUUAGUAUGGCCCCUGCAUAAGGAUGACACACAAAUAUGUGAAACAUUCCAUAUUUUU